UCAGAUGUUUUUGGUUGUUGGUGUUGGAUCCUUUUUUAAGAACAGCUGGAAUACCGAAAGAUCUGUUUAGGUCUGAGGGACUAAAACUUACUUCUGGGAAUGGGGGACUUCAUUCAAGGUGAUUCUGUAACAGCAGUUCCAGGGCUGGAUUUGUUAUUUGUGGGAGUCUUGUGUUUUAAUACGUGUUUUUGCCCUGUAUUUUCAAACUUAAAGAUUGUUUUCCUUAGACAGCCACCUUUUCCUUAGAAAAUAGGAUAACUAAAUACUAAGCUUAACUAAUUACAUCUUCAAAAGUUAGCAAGCUCCAGUUCAAGAGUUAAUGGCAUCGCAAAGUUAAUACAUGGUCACCACAAGCAGGUAUCAAUCUGGUAUUUUCAGGCCAGCACAUACAUGUACAGAACUGGGGAGGUCUCUGCAGUGAACAUGAAAUAGUUCCCUGAAAGCACAAUGCAUUCAAUGUGGCUGAUUUGCCAAGUGCCCAGAAUACAUCACAGUGGAUGACUUGAUUUGAAACAUUAGAAUAGGUGAUAAGAAAGUCAUGCUAUAGAAUCUUUUAUAUAUAUUUCAAACAACUCCUACUUAAAGGAGGGGGGGGAAUCUUUAUAAUUAACAUGACAGAUAAGAGCAGCAGUGGCACUUUAAAUAAAUGCAGUGUAUUUGAUUUUUGAAGUAGAGUUUAAGAUUCUGGGGAUGUGUUCAAGAGAGGAAAAACUAUGUGCUCAGUAUUGAAAAUGAAGAGAUGCUAUAGAUCACCUUUCAAACUGAGCUCCCUCACAGAACUUCUCUGUUCUCAACCUUCAGCAGAGGGCCUCCUAGGAAACAAGUGGGGCUAAUUAAAAGAGAGCUGACAAAAGGGGGGCCCUACAAGGGAAGGUUUAACGGGGGCUUCUUUUCCAUGCCAUUGCCAUGCAAGGAGAAGGCAUCCAAGAUCCAGCUAUGGUGGAAGUGACUCUUGAGGAAUGCCACGUCCUUGCAGAUUUUAAAAUGAAAUGCAGGGCUGAUGAUGGCUUAGGUGUUAGACGUAAUGGACGUUAUGUUAGUCAUUGGAUGGAGACUUAAUAGCCAGUUCAGUGAAGAGUUUCACUUAGUUUUUGGAUGGGUGGUCCUAGGUCCCAUGCUGAGCUAAAUUCUAUGGCUCCUCUAAAGGUAUGUAGGCUAGAGGUGGAUGGCUGUACAGCAGAAAGGGUGAAUGAAUAUUUGCAACCUGCUCUGGUGGAAGGUGUCCCUGCCCAUUUGGAGCUGGAUGAGCUUUAAGGUCCCUUCCAACCCAAACCAGUCUGGGAUUCUCCAAUUUCCCACCAGCACUUUUUCCUGCAGAGCCCAUCACCAGGGUGAAUUAAAAAUUCCAGAUUUCUGGAGCGCACUCUUGUCAUUUCAUAGCUGCUGCUCAGGCAAAGCUGGUAUUAAUUCAGGAAGAGUCUCCCCGAGCAAGAACUCUCCAGAGUCCAAAAUAUUUUGCAGACAGUAAAUACAGGAAUUAUUCACCUACCACAGAACAGCAUCAGCCUCUGGGUGGAAUGCAGGAGCUGGUUAACAGUGCACAGAAACACUUCCCCCCAGGUUUGGACGAGUUGGAGGUUUGUGUGUGCCCAGUUGAAACUGCAACUGAAAGCAAUGGGUCCCUCCCUUGGUCCUGGAGGGGUGAGCACCAGCUACCUGGGUACCUCACCACUUCCUCUGGGAUGCCAGGAGGCUUUUCUGGAGCUCGUCCAUCUGACCCAGUCCUCCACAUGAGAUCUGGCAAGAUAAUCGCUCCAAGUGUCUGGGGAGCAGCACCAGAAGCAUCUGCAGGGUAAGAAGAGUGUGCUCCAAGAACAUAAAACCCCCUUUCCAUCUUUCUCCCGAACCUCAGCCUCAUACCCAGCUCCAAGGAGAAUGGCCACCUUCUGCCUGCAGCCCUGGGGACACCCUGUACGCCUCAGUCUGUCAGUCCUGUUGGGAUCUGCUGCCAGGUUCUGCCUGCUCUCAUGUGUUACACUAACCACAGCUGCAGAAGACCAAGCACUCUGGGAUCCUCAUGGGUGGAAAUGGCAGCAGAAAUGCAUUUCUCUGUUUUGUCUCUAUGAUGAUGAAAGGUCCUGGUCUGGCAGGAGCCAGGACCAAAGCCCUUUGUUGCUCUUUCUCUGGAGCUGGAGGAUUACCCUGCCCAGAAAUACCCCCUUGCAUUCUUCACUCUUGUGCAGGGAUCAAUGGCAGAUGAGGAAGACACGUUUACCCUCCACUGUCUUGGCUGGGAGAGGACAUGAGAAGCUCAUGGCACCACUGCCUCUGAGCUUGAUGUGCUCUGUCCCAUCCGUGGUGCCUCCUGCUCCCAGCCUGGGCAGCAGGCUCCUGUUGCACCGCACGCCACACUUGUCUCCUGUGGUAAAUUGAGAGCCCCAGGGGAUCUGGUAUUGUGCUUUUAUUUUUCCCCAGGUAUUUUUGUCUAUGAACCACAGAAAACUGAAUAGCAGGAAAUGAAGUGCAGAUUGGGAACAUGGUUGAGUACACUUUCUAAAAUAAAACAUUGAGGGGAGGGAGAGAUUCUUUUACAACAGAAAAUGAAGUGUGUUUACUCUUUAUUGAUGGAGUAUUUAAUUGUGGUGAGGCUUUGAGAGAUGUUCCUGGUGGCACCUCAGGCUGUGCAUUGUCUCGAAAUGCCACUUGGUCUUUGGUACAAGCACCUUGCUGGGUCAAACUCACCUCUUUGUGUUGCAAGGGGAUGUCAGGAAUGUCUAGUGAUCUCUGACAUGCCACAGUGCCAGGAGGACAAAGAACCCCACUGGUAUCUUCUUAAAGUGGACUAGAUACUAAAAGGACCUGAAGGUUUAUGGAGUAGAUGCAUUUGACAGCAGAAAAGAAAGUCUCUGCCCAUUGACCCUGCCCAGUGUGCUUUGAAAUUGGCUGGGCAGGCUUUACCCAAGCACUGGUUUUGGUCUCUGUGGUCUGUUCAGCCUUUAGACUCCAUACAGAGCGCGCCAGCAAAGCAAGCCACACCAGAGAACAUCUGCUGAGCUGGUGCAAGGUACGCACGCACCUGAGCUGGUGCUGAAGUGCCCUGCUGAGGAAGGCAGGGCAGCUCGGAUGCUGUCCCCACGCUGCCGUGGCUGUGCUCUUUCUGGGCUGCUUCCUGGAGCUGACGUGCUGACCUCUGCACGGCAUCGCGUUGUGUCAUGGAGCUGUGCCACCGAGCCUCGGAGCCUGCUCGGAGCUCUCUCUUGUGCCUCUUUCUUAAGCAGGGCAAAUAGCACAAGGGAGUGCAGGGUGUGGAGAUAAGGCUGUGACCUUUUAGAUCAUUCUGUUGCUUUACUACAAAUGCUGAUGGGUCCAGCCAGGCAGCUGGGUUCUUUUGUGAGAUUAAAUUAAUCUCAUUAAUUCAAAUGUCUAAAAGUAGCAGCCUUUAGUCAGCAGUGACCUGCACUGCUUCUUGUGCCGGGGGGUAGAUCUUUAGAGUCCAUCUCCCAUUGCUGGAGCUGUCCUGCUGUCCCUGUGUUUCUGAAUCACUGUCUGAAACAUUGUGCUUUUGCGUUUGGUUUUUUGUCCAGUGAAGGAUUAUGAGGCUUCACAAGCAGAGAAGACCAAGAUGCAUGGAGUCUCCACGACAGGUUCCCUGAGCUGGAGUUUCACAAUGAGGAUGUUCCUGGAGCAUCUCAGGACAGCCUGCUCCAGGGGGUGCAUCCCUCCAAGGGAGAUGGAGAGGGAAGUGCCAAAGAUGCCAACGGGUCCAGCUCUGCACCAGGAAAGCCUGAAGAGCCCCGAUUCAGCCAAAGCCCAGUCAUCGCUCACCUCCGAGCACCCCAACAGGCCUGGGAGGAGACGGCGCAUCCCUGGAGCGAGCGGUUAAGUGCUUUGCUGAACCAGGGCCAAGGUCCAGCACGGAGCCACCCAGCUCCCGCCGGCUCCCUCGUUGGCGCCGCACCGUGGAGUCAGGCCUGGGCUCGCACUGGAGGACGUUAUGAAAUCCUGGCCCUGACAGAGAGCAGAUGCAUCAUUGGGAAGCCCUCGGGUCAUGAGAGGGCUAAUAGUCACAUUCCUGGCUGGGAUGGCGAAAGAUUUACGCCGGGCGCUUGCUCGCCUCGCCCUGCACCAGGCCGGCUCCCUGCUUCACCGGCCCCCUCGGCUUUAAUUGUUGUGUUAAUGGCCCUUUUAUUUGAAGCAGAUCCCCUGGCUUACAGAGGAGAAUGUCAUUAUGUCGUAUUUUAGAUGUAUUUACAUUCUCCUUGCCACAGGGAUAACGUUCUAAUUAUUUUCUAUAGCUGACAGCACCAGUGUCUCUGGUAUUAGGGACCCCUUAGACCUGAUUACAUGGUCUGUUUUUCUUCAAGUCACCCACAAAUGACAGUGUGGAGCAGGUUUAUUAUCAAUUGACGUACCUUUGCUUAACUCAACUCGCUCCCGAAACAAAUGUCCUGGAAAGAUAAUGCAUGUUUAGUGCAUGUGUCUUCGUUUGCGUGAAGGCAGAUGGGCUUAGGAGGUCAAGCCAACAGUUGACCUCUCCUGACUCCUCAGGCUUCAAAUGGUGGAGAAUGACAGCAUGGGAAGGGGAUGGAGGCUCAGGGGGAAAGGGGGGAGAAGUGGAGAAUGCUAGCUUAGUUUUGCAUGGAGGUGUAGAGAGGUAUUGGAGUCUGGUUGAGAUGGUGGGAUUGUACCUGUGCCAGAAGUUGUUUUCAAGGGAGAAGAGAAGGCAGAGCUCCUCGCUGGAGAUGGCUGUGCAACAUGCAGUGGACUUGAUGGACAGGGUGGUGAGAGGAGACGCCUGGCAGCAGGGUGUGUGGGGCUGGUGGAUGGAGCUUGGGAACUGCAUGGAGAAAAGAACUGCCUGAGAAGCCAAGAAAGGAGAAGCCUGACAAGCUUGACAAGAGAAGGUGGGAUGGGACCCAUCGCAGAGCUAGAGACAAGAGCAGAGAAGGUGGCUUUAGAGCAAGGGGUGAUGCCAGGGAGGUGCGGGAGCACAACACAGAAGUUAUAACAGCAAGUGAGAUAAGGAGAGUGAGAGACACAAUUAUUAGAACAGAAUGAUUUGAUUUAUCCCAAGUCAUUUAUUCACCAAAUUUCUCCCCUGAGAUCUUCAAUGGACUGAAGUGGUUUCAAAUGUUGUCAUUAUUUAGAACAAUUCAACAAAAUGUUUGUUGCUUUGAAAAGCAAAAGGGAGGGGCGAGGGAUGGAGAAAAGAAAGAAAGAAAGGAAAAAUAAAAGCCUGGAUGGUCUGGUUUGCCACAUUUGAAUUUUAUUGCCGACUUGGAAUGGGUCAAGAAAAAUCACUCUUUCUGUUCUCUGAGCGGGAGUUUCACUUACAAAGCCACUUCUGAUGUGAGCGCUUCCCCAAGCUCAGAUCCAGGCUCCGUGUGUAUUCAAACAUGAAACGACAAAAAGGCAGUAUUCGUGCUGGUGAAACCCUGUCGAGGAAAUGUUUGUGCACCAGGACAAUUUCAUUACAAAACUCAGGCGCGUCUUCGUGGAGUCUCUUUGCCUGGCAGCUCUACAGAUUAUUUCAUACUCAGCCCUGCUGGGCACCAAGGCACUUUACAAACAAAUAGAAAGGCAAAGACGCUGCCCCGAGGGAGUUACAUUCUAAGUCAGACCAAAGCAGAGUGAGAAUGCUGGCUGCAGGGUUUACACAGCAGAAGGUGGGCACUUUUGUUUGGAAAGGCAAGGAUCUCACUAAGUUUUUCUUGUGUGUGUGCGUGACUUCUGGAGCACUUUUAGCCACGGCUUAAAAGGAAUAGGUCUCCACAAGGUUCAGUGAAAGGUGGCAGGAGAGUAGAGGUCUCAAAGGUACUGUAUUCCUGUUUUGUUUCCUUAGAAUAAAAGCUGGGUGGAGGAGAGGCAACCAAACCAUUAUUUCAAUUGAAAGAAAAGCUCCUACGUGUUCAGAAGUAGCACUGCUGUCUUCCAAAAAUCCAAGAGGAAAAGAAGGGAGAAAUGUUUUCUAGCAGCCAUUGUGGCUAUAGCCAUUGGUGAAGUUGCCAUCACAGCGUGUACAGAAGAGUUGUACCUGUUAAGAGACAGGACAAUUUAACCAUGGGAACACAACAUCCAGGAAAACAGGAUCCUUAUUUUCACCUCUCUUGAAGUUACCUUGUUUGUUUUUAAUUUACUCAUAUGCAUUUGGUGGGUGGCAGCUUGGGGAUGCUGCUUUCAGCUCCAAGAGGCACGAAUGAGAACAGCAUCUCCUGCCUCUGCUGGAGAGCAUUUUUGGGGUGGAGGUGCUGAUGGGUCACAUCCAGUUGGUCACUGUGCAAAUGGAAGCUAAAGAGAGGAUGAGUUACAGUUUUCUUACUGCUGUUUUUAGGUUGGACUGAAUAAUAGAACUGAGUAUCUGCUGCCUUGUUUGGUCAAUUUGUUGGCCUCAGUACAGGAUGAGGAAUGACAAAAUGUGGGACUGCUUCUGUACCAAUGUCAUUUUGUGGAGUUUCACUUGAGAAUAUUCAAGUAUGUGUGUCCUGUGCAGAUCUGCUGCCCUGUGAACGUCUGAGCUGUAAUGAGGUGAAUGCUACUGGAAAGCAAACAUUUAAUUAGCUCUGCUGUUUCAAUACUUUCCUAAAAUGCAUUCCAAAUCAUACACAUAGUUGUGAAAUCAGUCAUUGAUGCUGCGUUUGAUGGUUCCAGCACUUGUGUGGGUUUCUUUACCUUUUUUCUGAGGAGCCCCAGAUCAGAUGACUUCAUUUUCAGAACACAGCACAAAAGAAUAAAUUGCAAGUACUCUGUGAAUUAUUAAAGGAGAAUAUUAUCAGUAACACAGAAGAGGAAAUCUGUCUAGAAUUUUGUGUCAUGUUGGCUAAUUGUCCAGCAGCAGAAAGGAAAAGAAAGGCUAAACCAAUUAGUUCAGCUUGUUUAUUGAAAUCGGUUGGUUUUUUUUUCUGAUACCUUUUGGGUACUUGUGCUUGGCAAAGCAAGUGGUUGUGUGGAGGAGCAUAGCAGGGAUUUGGGAGUUGUGUUUGUUUUCUAAACUAAAAGCGAUUGGGUUGCAGCACUGAUUGAUAGAAAGGCCAUGUAAUAUGCUUCUGCAAGUAUGCAAAAUACUUUUCUCUGAGUCCCAAAUGUACCAACACAGUGCUCUUCUGAAGGUGUCAAUAUGCAGCACAGCAGGGAGAGAAGAGGGGCUAUAGUUUUGCCAGAAGCUCUUCAAUACUCUGGACGUGCACACUAAGACAUGCAGGAGCAAGGCUCUAGAAAAUGUUAGGGUCCAUAAAUCACUUCUGGUGGAGCCCAGGAGUGAGAGCACCAGCAGGAGCUGUGGUGUGGACAGACUUGGGGCACGAUGCCUCCACCAUAUAGGGAAUCCCUUUCCAUGCGGUAGGCACCACCAUCGUUAUCUCUGCUCCAGUGGGGUCUUGGCUGGUGGAGAUUCCCAAGUCACACCUCUGCACAGAGCUCACUUAAUCUUCAUCAGGAGGUCGAAGGCUGAGUCAGCCCUGCUGGGAUUUGCACCGGUGGUUCCAGGAAGUCUGGGUAUUUCAAACCUUAGGCUUAGACCUCUAAUCAUCCCCUUAUCUCAACUGCCUAACAUCUGAGUCUGCAAAAUUGGGGUGGAAAUCUCACACAAACAUGCUUUCCCCAGCGGCAUUUCUGCAUUUGUUUGCCAGGGGAGCCCAGGACCAGCGAAUGGCACAGAGGAUUCAGCUUUGAAACCAAAGGUUUAAUCUAAGUGUUGCAUGGAAGGCCUGGUCCUUUCUUGAUUGAUGGCUUGCUUACUGUUUGCUGACAGCUGGAGACACUCACCCUUUGGGGCAGAAACCCAGAGUUAACACUCAGAGAAGCAAGUGUUGA
Pezoporus flaviventris is the source of this 7749-nucleotide long non-coding RNA. RefSeq lists it as uncharacterized. The record is from RefSeq and is a predicted model, not a curated record. NCBI's taxonomy places the organism in Eukaryota, Metazoa, Chordata, Aves, Psittaciformes, Psittacidae. The transcript has 3 exons.